AACGUAGGACGCAAGCGUUAUCCGGAAUUACUGGGCGUAAAGCGCGUGUAGGUGGUUUUAUAAGUCACUGUUGAAAGCUCCCGGCUAAACUGGGAGAGGUGCGGUGAGACUGUAGAGCUAGAGUUUGGGAGAGGGGUGCGGAAUUCCGGGUGUAGUGGUGAAAUGCGUAGAGAUCCGGAGGAACACCAGAGGCGAAGGCGGCACCCUGGCCUAAUACUGACACUGAGACGCGAAAGCAUGGGGAGCGAACGGG
This 253-nucleotide ribosomal RNA is filed under the name uncultured bacterium. RNAcentral's name for it is "partial 16S ribosomal RNA". It matches the Rfam family "Bacterial small subunit ribosomal RNA", at positions 524 to 776 of the family's 1533-position model. The record is from RNAcentral.